RNAcentral lists this long non-coding RNA (1004 nucleotides) under Equus caballus (horse). RNAcentral describes it as "lncRNA (ENSECAG00000033653.3)". Lineage: Eukaryota; Metazoa; Chordata; Mammalia; Perissodactyla; Equidae. The record is from RNAcentral.
CUAUGAAGGCCCUCAAGUUGCCUGAUGGCUUGCCAUUGGGUGGGACCAGUUCCUAGGGCAGCCUGCCUGCCUGGCUGAGCUGUAUUACAUCGUCCUGGUGGGUGGCACUGACCUUGGGCUAACAGGCCCGGGGAAGAAUACCAAUAGCAUCUGCCAGCAUCUGUGUCAGUAUGCUUGUGUGAGGUCACAAUAAUGUCUGCUGCCAAUGUCUCAGUCCCUGGAGAGGUCUCACCUCUCAACAAGAUGCACCCAGAGCCUAUCAGGAUGUCUGAAGCAAUCAAGAUAUUAAUACCUUAGCAUCCAUUGCCAUAAGAACAUGUCAUUCCUUCGUCCAAGAUUUAUGCUACGUAAUAGGGAUGCAAUGAUGGAAAAAAAGAACACAACAGCAAUGAUAAAACCUACAUAAUACACUAACUAGCACAAGUAAGAAUUUCCAUGAAAUUCAAGUAGUAAUGGGAGAAGCACACCAUGCAAUUUAAGAAGAGGCACAGAGUGACCUUCACAUUUCAUUUGGAUUACAGAACCUCAUGCUAGGCAACUGUCUUCUACCACUGGAACAAAAAACCUAGAGAUUACAACCCUGAGAAGGAGGAUCCGCAGGGAUCUGGCCUGGAGAACACCAGAAAUAGGCUGUCGACAUGCUGUAAAAUGUUCUCUCGUGAUGCUGGGCAUCAACAGCGAGCAACAGCUCCCACUCAGCCCCACGAUCAUGAGGCUUGUGUGCACGGCUGACGAUCCUGAACUACCUUUCUACAGGCUGAAUUCCACACUAACACUGCUGGAGGAAUUAGAACACGUCGAAGCAUGAAAGGCUAGAAUGCAGACAUGGGAGCAACUCAACAUCAAACAUGCAGAUGAUGACAACUAACCCGUAGGGAAUAGUAGAACAACAAAAUGGCAGAAACCUGUGUCCUUAAGAGACUCCAUGGAUCAGAGCCACUCUGCUAACCUAGGCCAGCCCAAAUAAAACGUGUCUGAGAAAUAAACUUAUUUAACCUUCUGUA